This 253-nucleotide ribosomal RNA is filed under the name uncultured bacterium. RNAcentral describes it as "partial 16S ribosomal RNA". It matches the Rfam family "Bacterial small subunit ribosomal RNA", at positions 524 to 776 of the family's 1533-position model. The record is from RNAcentral.
UACGGAGGGGGCAAGCGUUAAUCGGAAUUACUGGGCGUAAAGCGCGCGUAGGCGGCUCUGCAAGUCGAGUGUGAAAUCCCUAGGCUCAACCUGGGAACUGCAUUCGAGACUGCACGGCUAGAGUAUGGGAGAGGGAAGUGGAAUUUCAGGUGUAGCGGUGAAAUGCGUAGAUAUCUGAAGGAACAUCAGUGGCGAAAGCGACUUCCUGGACCAAUACUGACGCUCAGGUGCGAAAGCGUGGGGAGUAAACAGG